Molecule: ribosomal RNA, 484 nt
Filed under: uncultured bacterium
Lineage: Bacteria
Description: partial 16S ribosomal RNA
Rfam family: Bacterial small subunit ribosomal RNA
Source: RNAcentral
AUUGAACGCUGGCGGCAGGCCUAACACAUGCAAGUCGAGCGGACGAAGGAAGCUCGCUCCUGUAUUCAGUGACGGACGGGCGAGUGAUGAAUACGAAUAUACCCUGCCGAUGGGGCUAGCGUCCGGACGGGGGCGCGGAGCUCAUAUCCGAUCAGAGAGAGAACGGGGUGGAUCAUUGGAGCACAACGUAUCUGCUGUGACUAGGACGGAUUAGCUAGUUGGAGGGGUAAAGGCCUACCAAGGCGACGAUCCGUAACUGGGCUGAGAGGAUGAUCAGUCACACUGGAACUGAGACACGGUCCAGACUCCUACGGGAGGCAGCAGUGGGGAAUAUUGGACAAUGGGCGAAAGCCUGAUCCAGCCAUGCCGCGUGUGUGAAGAAGGUCUUCGGAUUGUAAAGCACUUUAAGUUGGGAGGAAGGGCAGUAAGUUAAUACCUUGCUGUUUUGACGUUACCAACAGAAUAAGCACCGGCUAACUUCGUG